Molecule: ribosomal RNA, 634 nt
Filed under: uncultured bacterium
Lineage: Bacteria
Description: bacterial SSU rRNA
Rfam family: Bacterial small subunit ribosomal RNA
Source: RNAcentral
GAACGGGGAUAAGACAUCGGAAGAGCUGCUUGCAGAAUGGAAGAAGUCAUAUUCUAGUGGCGGACGGGUGAGUAACGCGUGGGCAACCUGCCUUAUACAGGGGGAUAACAGCUGGAAACAGCUGCUAAUACCGCAUAAGCGCACAGCGGCGCAUGACGCAGUGUGAAAAACUGAGGUGGUAUAAGAUGGGCCCGCGUCUGAUUAGCUGGUUGGGAGGGUAACGGCCUACCAAGGCGACGAUCAGUAGCCGGCCUGAGAGGGCGGACGGCCACAUUGGGACUGAGACACGGCCCAGACUCCUACGGGAGGCAGCAGUGGGGAAUAUUGCACAAUGGGGGGAACCCUGAUGCAGCGACGCCGCGUGAGAGAAGAAGUAUUUCGGUACGUAAAGCUCUAUCAGCAGGGAAGAAAANNGCAUAAAACAAAAGUAAGAAGCCCCGGCUAACUACGUGCCAGCAGCCGCGGUAAUACGUAGGGGGCAAGCGUUAUCCGGAAUUACUGGGUGUAAAGGGAGCGUAGACGGCAAUGCAAGUCCGGAGUGGAAUGCGGCAGCUCAACUGCCGAAUGCUCUGGAAACUGUAUGGCUUGAGUGCAGGAGGGGUAAGCGGAAUUCCUGGUGUAGCGGUGAAAUGCG